GAUGAAGAACGUAGCGAAAUGCGAUAAGUAAUGUGAAUUGCAGAAUUCAGUGAAUCAUCGAAUCUUUGAACGCACAUUGCGCCCGCCAGUAUUCUGGCGGGCAUGCCUGUUCGAGCGUCAUUACAACCCUCAGGCCCCCGGGCCUGGCGUUGGGGAUCGGCGGAGCCCCCCGUGGGCACACGCCGUCCCCCAAAUGCAGUGGUGGUCCCGCCGCAGCUUCCAUCGCGUAGUAGCUAACACCUCGCGACUGGAGAGCGGCGCGGCCACGCCGUAAAACACCCAACUCUUCUGAAGUUGACCUCGAAUCAGGUAGGAAUACCCGCUGAACUUAAGCAUAUCAAUAAGCGGAGGA
RNAcentral lists this unclassified non-coding RNA (352 nucleotides) under soil metagenome. RNAcentral's name for it is "partial contains 5.8S ribosomal RNA, internal transcribed spacer 2, and large subunit ribosomal RNA". The stretch from base 1 to 120 matches the Rfam family "5.8S ribosomal RNA", at positions 35 to 154 of the family's 154-position model. The record is from RNAcentral.